GACGAACGCUGGCGGCGUGCCUAAUACAUGCAAGUAGAACGCUGAAGAGAGGAGCUUGCUCUUCUUGGAUGAGUUGCGAACGGGUGAGUAACGCGUAGGUAACCUGCCUGGUAGCGGGGGAUAACUAUUGGAAACGAUAGCUAAUACCGCAUAAAAUGGAUUAUCGCAUGAUAAUCCAUUGAAAGGUGCAAAUGCAUCACUACCAGACGGACCUGCGUUGUAUUAGCUAGUUGGUGGGGUAACGGCUCACCAAGGCGACGAUACAUAGCCGACCUGAGAGGGUGAUCGGCCACACUGGGACUGAGACACGGCCCAGACUCCUACGGGAGGCAGCAGUAGGGAAUCUUCGGCAAUGGACGGAAGUCUGACCGAGCAACGCCGCGUGAGUGAAGAAGGUUUUCGGAUCGUAAAGCUCUGUUGUAAGAGAAGAACGAGUGUGAGAGUGGAAAGUUCACACUGUGACGGUAUCUUACCAGAAAGGGACGGCUAACUACGUG
RNAcentral lists this ribosomal RNA (497 nucleotides) under uncultured bacterium. Its description in RNAcentral is "partial 16S ribosomal RNA". It matches the Rfam family "Bacterial small subunit ribosomal RNA", at positions 28 to 507 of the family's 1533-position model. The record is from RNAcentral.